RNAcentral lists this ribosomal RNA (497 nucleotides) under uncultured bacterium. RNAcentral describes it as "partial 16S ribosomal RNA". It matches the Rfam family "Bacterial small subunit ribosomal RNA", at positions 28 to 507 of the family's 1533-position model. The record is from RNAcentral.
GAUGAACGCUGGCGGCGUGCCUAAUACAUGCAAGUCGAGCGAACAGAUGAGGAGCUUGCUCCUCUGACGUUAGCGGCGGACGGGUGAGUAACACGUGGUUAACCUACCUAUAAGACUGGGAUAACUUCGGGAAACCGGAGCUAAUACCGGAUAAUAUAUUGAACCGCAUGGUUCAAUAGUGAAAGACGGUUUUGCUGUCACUUAUAGAUGGAUCCGCGCCGCAUUAGCUAGUUGGUAAGGUAACGGCUUACCAAGGCAACGAUGCGUAGCCGACCUGAGAGGGUGAUCGGCCACACUGGAACUGAGACACGGUCCAGACUCCUACGGGAGGCAGCAGUAGGGAAUCUUCCGCAAUGGGCGAAAGCCUGACGGAGCAACGCCGCGUGAGUGAUGAAGGUCUUCGGAUCGUAAAACUCUGUUAUUAGGGAAGAACAAAUGUGUAAGUAACUAUGCACGUCUUGACGGCACCUAAUCAGAAAGCCACGGCUAACUACGUG